AAGACUAUAUUUUCAGGGAUCAUUUCUAUAGUUCGUUACUAGAGAAGUUUCUCUGAACGUGUAGAGUACCCCUUAUGGA
RNAcentral lists this small nucleolar RNA (79 nucleotides) under Suricata suricatta (meerkat). Its description in RNAcentral is "Small nucleolar RNA U3 (ENSSSUG00005000745.1)". It matches the Rfam family "Small nucleolar RNA U3", at positions 1 to 85 of the family's 219-position model. From Rfam's summary of the family: Small nucleolar RNAs (snoRNAs) are involved in the processing and modification of rRNA in the nucleolus. There are two main classes of snoRNAs: the box C/D class, and the box H/ACA class. The record is from Rfam by way of RNAcentral. Lineage: Eukaryota; Metazoa; Chordata; Mammalia; Carnivora; Herpestidae.